UAGGGAAUCUUCCGCAAUGGACGAAAGUCUGACGGAGCAACGCCGCGUGAGUGAUGAAGGUUUUCGGAUCGUAAAACUCUGUUGUUAGGGAAGAACAAGUUGGGUAGUAACUGACCCAACCUUGACGGUACCUAACCAGAAAGCCACGGCUAACUACGUGCCAGCAGCCGCGGUAAUACGUAGGUGGCAAGCGUUGUCCGGAAUUAUUGGGCGUAAAGCGCUCGCAGGCGGUCUUUUAAGUCUGAUGUGAAAGCCCACGGCUUAACCGUGGAGGGUCAUUGGAAACUGGAGGACUUGAGUACAGAAGAGGAGAGUGGAAUUCCACGUGUAGCGGUGAAAUGCGUAGAGAUGUGGAGGAACACCAGUGGCGAAGGCGACUCUCUGGUCUGUAACUGACGAUGAGGAGCGAAAGCGUGGGUAGCGAACAGG
Molecule: ribosomal RNA, 429 nt
Filed under: Bacillota bacterium
Lineage: Bacteria; Bacillati; Bacillota
Description: Firmicutes bacterium partial 16S ribosomal RNA
Rfam family: Bacterial small subunit ribosomal RNA
Source: RNAcentral